AUUAAAGGACUUUUCGUUAAUACUACUGUCAAAAGCCAAUUUAAAGAGAUCAUCAAAUUUGUCAUCCUUAAGGUUGCCAU
This 80-nucleotide small RNA is filed under the name Mycoplasmoides pneumoniae M129. Its description in RNAcentral is "Mycoplasma pneumoniae M129 ncRNA". The record is from RNAcentral. Lineage: Bacteria; Bacillati; Mycoplasmatota; Mycoplasmoidales; Mycoplasmoidaceae.